Molecule: non-coding RNA, 97 nt
Organism: Rhodocollybia butyracea
Lineage: Eukaryota; Fungi; Basidiomycota; Agaricomycetes; Agaricales; Omphalotaceae
Source: the annotation of a GenBank genome assembly
ACUCACAUAGUCAAGUGGAUAAGACGCCUUGAAAUUAUAGAUUUGUCACAAGAUUUCAUCAUUCAAGGAGGCGGGGGUUCGAUUCCUCCUUUGAGUG